AUGGAGGAGUCUCCUGCUGUGUCAACAGAAGACGAGACCAUCACCCCCAGCACCAGCCAACAGGCAGCAUCAGAGCAGUCUCUGGAAUCUCCCUCAGAGGAGAUGAGCAGCCCCAGCCUCUACAGUUGGGUAACAUCAAGGCCAUCCCACAGCAACAUCCCAGAAACUGAGGACAGCAGCUGCUCUCGCAGUCGGAGGCCUGACCACCGGCAAAACCGCACCCGCCGGCAAAGUCGGCCCCAAAAUCCACAGCAUCGGUCCAGAAGUCCUCAUGACAGGAGCCACGUGCCGGAACCAACUGCUGCGAGGUGCAGGCCCAGGCAGGGACAAUCAGGAACAUCCCGCAGGCCAAGACGCUCCCGCCGGCAAAGUCGUCCCCAAAAUCCACACCUUCGGUCCCCGAGUCCCUAUGACAGGAGAUGUUCGCCACACCUUCGGUCCCCGAGUCCCCAUGACAGGAUUUGUUUGCCACCACCACCAAGUCCUCGGAGGCGCAGCCGCAGCGAGGAGGCAUCAGAGACAUCCAGCAACCGAAACCGCUCCCGCCAGCAACGUCGGCCCCAAAAUCCACACCUUCGGUCCAGAAGUCGACGUCACAGGAGCCAUGUGAGAACACCAAGGGCUGGGAGCUGCACCUCCACCCAGGAAGCAUCAGAGACAUCCAGCAGCCGAAACCGCUCCCGCCAGCAACGUCGGCCGCAAAAUCCACACCUUCGGUCCAGAAGUCGCCGUGACAGAAGCCAUGUCCCAGCACCAAGUACUGGGAGACGCAGGCCCAGUCAGGAAGAAUCAGGGACAUCCCGCAGGCGAAGUAGCUCCCGCCGCCAAAGUCGGACCUCAAAUCCAUCUGGCCGCUCCAGAAGUCCCCUUGACAGGAACUGCACGCCAGCACCGAGUGCUGGCAGGCGAAACUCAAGGGAGACAGCAGCCAGGACUUCCCAAAGGGAACAGCACUCCCGCCGGCAGCGUCGGACCUCAAAUUCAUCCAACAGAUCCAGAAGUCGCCGUGAUGGGAGGCGUGAUAGAGCACCCAGUGCUGGGAGCCCCACUCACCGCUCAGACGGUGAGACAGGGACUCCCCACUGA
This 1086-nucleotide long non-coding RNA is filed under the name Manacus vitellinus (golden-collared manakin). RNAcentral describes it as "lncRNA (ENSMVIG00005007838.1)". The record is from RNAcentral. Lineage: Eukaryota; Metazoa; Chordata; Aves; Passeriformes; Pipridae.